AGAGUUUGAUCCUGGCUCAGGACGAACGCUGGCGGCGUGCCUAAUACAUGCAAGUCGAACGGUCUUUUCUAUGGAAGCUUGCUUCCACUGAGAAGAUAGUGGCGAACGGGUGAGUAACACGUGGGUAACCUGCCCAUAAGAGGGGGAUAACAUCCGGAAACGGGUGCUAAUACCGCAUAGUUUUCUUGAUCGCAUGAUUGAGAAAGGAAAGACGGCCUUUGUGCUGUCGCUUAUGGAUGGACCCGCGGCGUAUUAGUUAGUUGGUGAGGUAACGGCUCACCAAGACGAUGAUACGUAGCCGACCUGAGAGGGUGAUCGGCCACAUUGGGACUGAGACACGGCCCAAACUCCUACGGGAGGCAGCAGUAGGGAAUCUUCCGCAAUGGACGAAAGUCUGACGGAGCAACGCCGCGUGAGUGAAGAAGGUUUUCGGAUCGUAAAACUCUGUUGUCAGAGAAGAACAAGUUGGAGAGUAACUGCUCCAGCCUUGACGGUAUCUGACCAGAAAGCCACGGCUAACUACGUGCCAGCAGCCGCGGUAAUACGUAGGUGGCAAGCGUUGUCCGGAUUUAUUGGGCGUAAAGCGAGCGCAGGCGGUUCCUUAAGUCUGAUGUGAAAGCCCACGGCUCAACCGUGGAAGGUCAUUGGAAACUGGGGAACUUGAGUGCAGAAGAGGAGAGUGGAAUUCCAUGUGUAGCGG
RNAcentral lists this ribosomal RNA (700 nucleotides) under uncultured bacterium. Its description in RNAcentral is "bacterial SSU rRNA". It matches the Rfam family "Bacterial small subunit ribosomal RNA", at positions 8 to 681 of the family's 1533-position model. The record is from RNAcentral.